This 499-nucleotide ribosomal RNA is filed under the name uncultured bacterium. RNAcentral describes it as "bacterial SSU rRNA". It matches the Rfam family "Bacterial small subunit ribosomal RNA", at positions 791 to 1289 of the family's 1533-position model. The record is from RNAcentral.
UAGUCCACGCCGUAAACGAUGUCUACUUGGAGGUUGUGGCCUUGAGCCGUGGCUUUCGGAGCUAACGCGUUAAGUAGACCGCCUGGGGAGUACGGUCGCAAGAUUAAAACUCAAAUGAAUUGACGGGGGCCCGCACAAGCGGUGGAGCAUGUGGUUUAAAUUCGAUGCAACGCGAAGAACCUUACCUACUCUUGACAUCCAGAGAAGCCAGCAGAGAUGCAGGUGUGCCUUCGGGAGCUCUGAGACAGGUGCUGCAUGGCUGUCGUCAGCUCGUGUUGUGAAAUGUUGGGUUAAGUCCCGCAACGAGCGCAACCCCUAUCCUUGUUUGCCAGCACGUAAUGGUGGAACUCCAGGGAGACUGCCGGUGAUAAACCGGNGGAAGUGGGACGACGUCAAGUCAUCAUGGCCCUUACGAGUAGGGCUACACACGUGCUACAAUGGCGUAUACAGAGGGCAGGCAAGCUAGCGAUAGUGAGCGAAGUCCCAGAAAGUACGUCGU